AUUGAACGCUGGCGGCAUGCCUUACACAUGCAAGUCGAACGGCAGCACGGGAGCAAUCCUGGUGGCGAGUGGCGAACGGGUGAGUAAUAUAUCGGAACGUGCCCAGUCGUGGGGAUAACGUAGCGAAAGCUACGCUAAUACCGCAUACGAUCUAUGGAUGAAAGCGGGGGAUCGCAAGACCUCGCGCGAUUGGAGCGGCCGAUAUCAGAUUAGGUAGUUGGUGAGGUAAAGGCUCACCAAGCCGACGAUCUGUAGCUGGUCUGAGAGGACGACCAGCCACACUGGGACUGAGACACGGCCCAGACUCCUACGGGAGGCAGCAGUGGGGAAUUUUGGACAAUGGGCGCAAGCCUGAUCCAGCAAUGCCGCGUGCAGGAUGAAGGCUCGG
RNAcentral lists this ribosomal RNA (388 nucleotides) under uncultured bacterium. RNAcentral describes it as "bacterial SSU rRNA". It matches the Rfam family "Bacterial small subunit ribosomal RNA", at positions 30 to 419 of the family's 1533-position model. The record is from RNAcentral.